ACAUCUCUUCGGAGCAUUUUACGAGGUGCUGCAUGGUUGUCGUCAGCUCGUGCCGUGAGGUGUCGGGUUAAGUCCCAUAACGAGCGCAACCCUACCUUUAGUUGCCAUCAGGUAAUGCUGGGGACUCUAAAGGAACUGCCUACGCAAGUAGUGAGGAAGGCGGGGAUGACGUCAAAUCAGCACGGCCCUUACGUCCAGGGCUACACACGUGCUACAAUGGCCGAUACAGAGGGCAGCUACCUGGUGACAGGAUGCAAAUCUCCAAAGUCGGUCUCAGUUCGGAUCGGAGUCUGCAACCCGACUCCGUGAAGUUGGAUUCGCUAGUAAUCGCGCAUCAGCCAUGGCGCGGUGAAUACGUUCCCGGGCCUU
RNAcentral lists this ribosomal RNA (369 nucleotides) under uncultured Sphingobacteriales bacterium. Its description in RNAcentral is "bacterial SSU rRNA". It matches the Rfam family "Bacterial small subunit ribosomal RNA", at positions 1011 to 1382 of the family's 1533-position model. The record is from RNAcentral. Lineage: Bacteria; Pseudomonadati; Bacteroidota; Sphingobacteriia; Sphingobacteriales.